CAGGGUCUCCUCUCUGCUAGGAGUUGAACACUUGUUGGGACACCCUGGCUGUGGAAAGGAGCUACCCAC
This 69-nucleotide microRNA precursor is filed under the name Chlorocebus sabaeus (green monkey). RNAcentral describes it as "miRNA (ENSCSAG00000023909.1)". Lineage: Eukaryota; Metazoa; Chordata; Mammalia; Primates; Cercopithecidae. The record is from RNAcentral.